This 396-nucleotide ribosomal RNA is filed under the name Enterobacter sp. LGI1G. Its description in RNAcentral is "bacterial SSU rRNA". It matches the Rfam family "Bacterial small subunit ribosomal RNA", at positions 989 to 1378 of the family's 1533-position model. Lineage: Bacteria; Pseudomonadati; Pseudomonadota; Gammaproteobacteria; Enterobacterales; Enterobacteriaceae. The record is from RNAcentral.
CAGANAACUUAGCANACCAUGCUUCUGGUGCCUUCGGGAACUCUGAGACACGGUGCUGCAUGGCUGUCGUCAGCUCGUGUNGUGAAAUGUUGGGUUAAGUCCCGGCAAAGGAAGNGGCAACCNUUAUCCUUUGUUGCCAGCGGUCCGGCCGGGAACUCAAAGGAGACUGCCAGUGAUAAACUGGAGGAAGGUGGGGAUGACGUCAAGUCAUCAUGGCCCUUACGAGUAGGGCUACACACGUGCUACAAUGGCGCAUACAAAGAGAAGCGACCUCGCGAGAGCAAGCGGACCUCAUAAAGUGCGUCGUAUCCGGAUUGGAGUCUGCAACUCGACUCCAUGAAGUCGGAAUCGCUAGUAAUCCGUAGAUCAGAAUGCUACGGUGAAUACGUUCCCGGG